GAUGAACGCUGGCGGCGUGCCUAAUACAUGCAAGUCGAGCGAACGGACGAGAAGCUUGCUUCUCUGAUGUUAGCGGCGGACGGGUGAGUAACACGUGGAUAACCUACCUAUAAGACUGGGAUAACUUCGGGAAACCGGAGCUAAUACCGGAUAAUAUUUUGAACCGCAUGGUUCAAAAGUGAAAGACGGUUUUGCUGUCACUUAUAGAUGGAUCCGCGCUGCAUUAGCUAGUUGGUAAGGUAACGGCUUACCAAGGCAACGAUGCAUAGCCGACCUGAGAGGGUGAUCGGCCACACUGGAACUGAGACACGGUCCUGACUCCUACGGGAGGCAGCAGUAGGGAAUCUUCCGCAAUGGGCGAAAGCCUGACGGAGCAACGCCGCGUGAGUGAUGAAGGUCUUCGGAUCGUAAAACUCUGUUAUUAGGGAAGAACAUAUGUGUAAGUAACUGUGCACGUCUUGACGGUACCUAAUCAGAAAGCCACGGCUAACUACGUG
This 497-nucleotide ribosomal RNA is filed under the name uncultured bacterium. Its description in RNAcentral is "partial 16S ribosomal RNA". It matches the Rfam family "Bacterial small subunit ribosomal RNA", at positions 28 to 507 of the family's 1533-position model. The record is from RNAcentral.